ACGCCGCGUGGGGGAUGACGGCCUUCGGGUUGUAAACCUCUUUCAGCAGGGACGAAGUUGACGUGUACCUGUAGAAGAAGCGCCGGCUAACUACGUGCCAGCAGCCGCGGUAAUACGUAGGGCGCAAGCGUUGUCCGGAAUUAUUGGGCGUAAAGAGCUCGUAGGUGGCUUGUCGCGUCUGCCGUGAAAGCCCGUGGCUUAACUACGGGUCUGCGGUGGAUACGGGCAGGCUAGAGGCUGGUAGGGGCAAGCGGAAUUCCUGGUGUAGCGGUGAAAUGCGCAGAUAUCAGGAGGAACACCGGUGGCGAAGGCGGCUUGCUGGGCCAGUUCUGACGCUGAGGAGCGAAAGCGUGGGGAGCGAACAGGAUUAGAUACCCUGGUAGUCCACGCUGUAAACGUUGGGCGCUAGGUGUGGGGGUCUUCCACGAC
RNAcentral lists this ribosomal RNA (429 nucleotides) under Microbispora rosea subsp. rosea. Its description in RNAcentral is "bacterial SSU rRNA". It matches the Rfam family "Bacterial small subunit ribosomal RNA", at positions 394 to 838 of the family's 1533-position model. The record is from RNAcentral. Lineage: Bacteria; Bacillati; Actinomycetota; Actinomycetes; Streptosporangiales; Streptosporangiaceae.